UCUUUAACGGCCGCAGUACUCUGACUGUGCAAAGGUAGCAUAAUAAAUUGGCUUUUAAUUGAAGUCGUGAAUGAAAGGUUUAAUGGAGAUAAGCUGUCUUUUAUUUAAUUAGUUUAAUUUACUUAAUAGGUGAAAAUACCUAUAAGGUUACAUAAGACGAGAAGACCCUUAGAAUUUAUAUAAAUAGGAAUAAACCUUUCAUAUUUGUUGGGGCAACAUUGUUGGUUUAACCAACAAAAUGUAUUUUCAUAAGACCAUUAUACUAAGUAAGAUUAAUUACCUAAGGGAUAACAGCAUAAUUUUUAAAAGAUUAUGACCUCGAUGUUGGACUAAGGCCUUUUUUCAUUAGACAUGAGAAAUGAUAGUUCUGUUCGAACAACAUAAACCCUACGUGAUCUGAGUUCAGA
Molecule: ribosomal RNA, 407 nt
Filed under: Buliminus labrosus
Lineage: Eukaryota; Metazoa; Mollusca; Gastropoda; Stylommatophora; Enidae
Description: partial 16S ribosomal RNA
Rfam family: Archaeal large subunit ribosomal RNA
Source: RNAcentral